CAGCCGCCGCGGUAAAACCGAGGGUGCAAGCGUUAAUCGGAAUUACUGGGCGUAAAGCGCGCGUAGGUGGUUCGCCAAGUUGGAUGUGAAAUCCCCGGGCUCAACCUGGGAACUGCAUCCAAAACUGGCGAGCUAGAGUAUGGUAGAGGGUGGUGGAAUUUCCUGUGUAGCGGUGAAAUGCGUAGAUAUAGGAAGGAACAUCAGUGGCGAAGGCGACCACCUGGACUGAUACUGACACUGAGGUGCGAAAGCGUGGGGAGCAAACAGGAUUAGAUACCCGUGUAGUCCCUGUCUCUUAUAC
Molecule: ribosomal RNA, 301 nt
Filed under: uncultured bacterium
Lineage: Bacteria
Description: partial 16S ribosomal RNA
Rfam family: Bacterial small subunit ribosomal RNA
Source: RNAcentral